Zopfochytrium polystomum is the source of this 89-nucleotide non-coding RNA. The record is from the annotation of a GenBank genome assembly. Lineage: Eukaryota; Fungi; Chytridiomycota; Chytridiomycetes; Chytridiales; Chytridiaceae.
GCCUUCUUGGCUCAGUUGGGAGAGCGUUUCCAAAGUACCAGGAGUGAAUCCUGACGGCAGGAGAACCAGUUCGAUUCUGAUAGAAGGCA